GUUUACUUUUGGUUCAGUGUAGAAUGCUCGCCUGCCACGCGGGCGCCCCGGGUUCGAUUCCCAGCCGAUGCA
Molecule: transfer RNA, 72 nt
Filed under: Cordylochernes scorpioides
Lineage: Eukaryota; Metazoa; Arthropoda; Arachnida; Pseudoscorpiones; Chernetidae
Description: tRNA-Gly
Source: RNAcentral